This 466-nucleotide ribosomal RNA is filed under the name uncultured bacterium. RNAcentral describes it as "partial 16S ribosomal RNA". It matches the Rfam family "Bacterial small subunit ribosomal RNA", at positions 28 to 507 of the family's 1533-position model. The record is from RNAcentral.
GACGAACGCUGGCGGCGCGCCUAGCACAUGCAAGUCGAACGAGCGAGAGGAGGUUUCCUUUCUCAAGCGAGUGGCGAACGGGUGAGUAACGCGUGAGGAACCUGCCUCAAAGAGGGGGACAACAGUUGGAAACGACUGCUAAUACCGCAUAAGCCCACGACCCGGCAUCGGGUAGAGGGAAAAGGAGCAAUCCGCUUUGAGAUGGCCUCGCGUCCGAUUAGCUAGUUGGUGAGGUAAUGGCCCACCAAGGCGACGAUCGGUAGCCGGACUGAGAGGUUGAACGGCCACAUUGGGACUGAGACACGGCCCAGACUCCUACGGGAGGCAGCAGUGGGGAAUAUUGCACAAUGGGGGAAACCCUGAUGCAGCGACGCCGCGUGGAGGAAGAAGGUCUUCGGAUUGUAAACUCCUGUUGUUGAGGAAGAUAAUGACGGUACUCAACAAGGAAGUGACGGCUAACUACGUG